AUUUCUUAAUAAAAAUAUGCAAAAACUACUAAGACUAAAACAAACAGCUACAAAACAAUUUUAAAAAAAAAUAGAUCAUUUAGAUUAUCUUAAAGUUUUAAUAUUAUAUAUACUUAAAAACAUAGAAAUUAUAGAUAUUAAGAAAAUAAUAUUAGAAAAAGUAAUAGACUACGAAAUUGAAACUAUAAAUUAUCUAGAACAGUUAUACGAAGAAAUUUACCCAGAAGGAUAUUAUUCAGAUUAAAAAAUGUUAGAAUAUAUUAGACAAACUAGAGAAAAUCAAGAAAAUCUAAAUAAUGAAAUUAAUUAUAGAAACCGAAUUAGACAAAUAAUGAAAGACCUAAAAGAAAAAUUAAUAUGGAUAGAAAAAACCUUAGAAAAUUUAGAUAAAAGUACAUGUGAUAGUUUAUAUAAUUUAAAAAACUCACUACGAGAAGAACAACACAAAAUAAUAAAUAACAUUGAAAAUCUAGAAUUAGAUAUAUAUUAUAGCACAGAUAGAAUAAAUUAUUAUACAAGAAUUUGUAACUCUGUAAUUACUACAGGAUAAAAUAAUUAAUGAAUAUAUCUUACGAAAAAAGUAAAUUAUUAAAAGAUAACAUCCACGCACUAAAUAAAAAUAGAUUCACUACAAAUAUGUACCAAAUCUAUUAUACCUAUUUAAUUAAAUCCGCGCACCCCCCUACAAAUGGUAUCAGAGCA
This 702-nucleotide long non-coding RNA is filed under the name Capsicum annuum. Its description in RNAcentral is "long non-coding RNA (CANN_LNC007986)". Lineage: Eukaryota; Viridiplantae; Streptophyta; Magnoliopsida; Solanales; Solanaceae. The record is from RNAcentral.